AGACGGAAGAUUUAAUGCCAUUGGCGGAUGCCUUGGCAGUUUGAGCCGAUGAAGGACGUGUGAUUAAGCACGAAAACAACGGUGAGCCCUUAAUCAGGCGUUACCAGCCGUUGGUUUCCGAAUGGAGCAAUCCCGGUCGCGCAAGCGACUGAGCCUGUGUUGCGCUGGAAAUUUCAAGAAACCAAGUAACAAGAAACAAACAAUUUUCAAUAAAUCAAGCGCCAAUGUCUCAAACAUUGUGAUUUGGAAUUUGUUUGGAUACUUGUAUCUUGUACCUUGGAGCUUCUUGUGCAAUACAGGUGGGGAACCCGAUGAACUGAAACAUCUAAGUAAUCGGAGGAAAAGAAAUCAUAUGAUAUUCCGGUAGUAGCGGCGAGCGAAAACGGAAAAGCCUAAACCAAAAUUUAUUUUGGUGUUGCGGGUCCACAGUAGGGAGUAGAGCAGGAUAGGAAAAUGUUUUGGAAAAAACAACCACAGAAAGUGACAGUCUUGUAUCCAAAAUCUAGCUUUACCCUGGUGGGUUACCCAAGUACCACGAGGCACGGCAAACCUUGUGGGAAACCGGGUCGGUCACGAUCCAAGGCUAAAUACUCAAACUGACCGAUAGUGAACUAGUACCGUGAGGGAAAGGUGAAAAGUCCCCCUGGAGGGGAGUGAAAUAGAACCUGAAACCAAUGGCUAACAAACAGACAGAGUCGAGCUUAGCUCGAUGAUGUCGUGCCUAUUGAAGAAUGAGUCAGCGAGUGUCCGGAGAUUGCAUGUUUAACCACUUUUUGUGGGAAGGCGUAGCGAAAGCAAGUCUUAAAAGGCGAUUUUGCAAUUUCCGAACGACCCGAAACCAGGUGAGCUAACCAUGAGCAGGGUGAAGCCCCGCGAAAGCGGAGUGGAGGCCCGCACCCGUUGCCGGUGAAAAGGCAUGGGAUGACUUGUGGUUAGAGGUAAUAUGCCUAUCGAACCUGGAGAUAGCUGGUUCUCCCCGAAAUAUAUUUUGGUAUAGCCUCUUGUUUUAUUCAUGGGGUAGAGCUACUAGAUGAUUUCAGGAGCCUUUGGCGACUGGAACCAACUAAACUCCGAAUACAUGAUGUAAUGACAAGGGAGUCAGUCCUACCGGGAUAAGCCGGUAUGGGCAAAAGGGAAACAACCCAGAUUCCCAACUAAGGUUCCUAAAUGAUUUUUUAGUGGAAAAGGCCGUUUGUUUUCCAAUACAGCAGGUAGGUUGGCUUAGAAGCAGCCACCCUUUAAAGAGUGCGUAACAGCUCACCUGAAUAGCCCGCUUUGCGGGAGGAGAACAGGCGCCGAAAAUGAACGGAGCUUAAAUUAUCUACCGACGUUGGAAGUAAUUUAUUACGGUAGGGGAGCAUUCUGUUUUCGAUAAAGGUAAACUGUAAGGUUUGCUGAAGGAAACAGAAGAGAGAAUGCUGACAUGAGUAGUGUCUCUGAACGUGAAAUUCGUUCACGCCGAAAACCCGAGGUUUCCUCAGCAACGCUAAUCGGCUGAGGGUUAGUCGGAUCUAACCGGAUUUGGUUUACAAAUUCGGGAUGUACAAGCUGUUAAUAUUCAGCUACUGUGUAAUAUGCGUUAUUACUUGAUUGAUGACGAAGUGUGCCAAACCAGGCCUUCUAUAUGGGGGUUUAAGCAGCGAGUUCCGCCAACUGGCGGAGAUGAGCUGUUAAUGCGAUUGUGUCGCAAGAUAUGAGAGCUGGUGGGUGUACGUUUCCGGGAAAAGUCAGUCAAGGAGUGUGUUAUACAUCCGUACCGCAAACCGACACAGGUGGGUUGGUCGAGUAGACCAAGGCGUUUCGAGUAAUGGUGGUUUAAGGAACUCGGCAAAAAAUCUGAGCGUAAGCUAUGCAAGAAGCUCUGCCCUCUUUCGAGAGGGUUUCAACAAAAGACUAUCAACCGACUGUUUAGCAAAAACACAGGUUCCUGCAAACCCGAAAGGGCAUGUAUAGGAGCUGAAACCUGUCCAGUACUGGUAAGUUAAUUGCUGUGGCUGAUCACACUUGUUGUGUUAGGUCGCGGUACAAGCUCCAGUGAACGACAGCUCUAACCCUGAGAGUUCUAAGGUAGCGUAACCCCUUGCCGGGUAAGUUCCGGCCCGCAUGAAAGGUUUAACGAGUUGAUAACUGUCUUGAACCGCUGCUCGACGAAAUUGAAAUGGCUGUGAAGAUGCGGCCUACUUGCACCAGGACAAAAAGACCCCGGGAGCUUUACUGAAACUUGACAUUGAGGAUGAAUUUUCAAUUGUUUAGCAAUAGGAGGGAGACUUCGGUCGCAAAUGAAAGACCUCUCUUUGUCUAUUCAAAAUCUUAUUUUCGCAAGAGAAAACAGUGUUAGGCGGUCAGUUUGGCUGGGGCGGCCUCCUCCAAAAAAGUAACGGAGGAGCGCAAUGGUCGGCUUACUACGGAUGGAAAUCGUAGUGUAAGUGCAAACGCAUAAGCCGGCUUAACUGUGAGAAUGACUAUUCGAACAGAUGCGAAAGCAGGCGUUAGUGAUCCCCCAAUCCGCUGUGAUUGCGGAUGGGGCUUAACGGAUAAAAGCUACCCCGGGGACAACAGGCUAGUCGCGCCCGAGAGUUCAAAUCGACGGCGCGGUUCGGCACCUUAAUUUACAUCGGGGUGUGGUAGAAGUAAUUCUAUUAGUUUGUUGUACACAUAUAAUCAGCUCAUAACGGUGAACUCCUAAUUGCUAUACAAUGAUAGUAAUGGACAACACCGUGGGAAGUCUGACAGAAGAACAAAAGUCCAUUCUUAUUGGCUGUCUCUUAGGAGAUGGUACGAUGAGAAAAAAGACAAACGCUCAUAUAGAGAUCAAUCAUAGUUUUGCCCAAAAGGCAUUAGUUGAUUGGAAGUAUGAGAAAUUAAGAAAUUUGGUAAUUACGCCACCGAAAUGGAGAAAAGGAAACGGUACAAGAGAAGCAUAUAGAUUUGCUACUCGAAGUUUACCCUGCCUUACUCCAUUAUAUGAAUGGUUUUACAUCAAUAAACGAAAAGUAAUUCCAAAUAAUCUUAGUCUCAACCCUCUAAUAUUAGCUUUAUGGUUUAUGGAUGAUGGAUCUAAAAGUCGAUCGUCUAUUUAUCUAAAUACUCAGCAGUUCAGUAAAAACGAACAAGAGUUUCUUAUUAAGUUACUUAAACAGCAAUUUAAUAUAGAAUCAACCUUAAAUAAAGACAAAAUUUAUUUUAGGAUCAGAGUCAGAACAGAGAGUAUUAGAAGCUUCAUUAAUCUUAUUAAACCGUUUGUCUUAAGAGAAUUUACAUAUAAAUUCCCUUCUGUCUUGACCCCGUAACGACUUGUCGUAAAGCGCUAGGCGCAUGACAGAGUUCUCAAAUUUUUGAGAGCUAACACGCUGACUCCUACUCUUUUAAUUCUAUGGAGGAUUAAAAGACAAGAGGAAGAAGGUAUAGUCUAAACUUUCGAGACAAUCGAAAGAUCGAUAGCGAUGUCGGCUCAACGUAUCCUGGAGGUGUAGUAGCUUCCAAGGGUCGGGCUGUUCGCCCGUUAAAACGUUACGCGAGCUGGGUUCAGAACGUCGUGAGACAGUUCGGUCUCUAUCCGGUGCAAGCGCAUUGACUUUUGAGAGGGAUUCUCCCCAGUACGAGAGGACCGGGAGGAAGAGAUCCCUGGUGUACCAGUUGUACUAAAAGUGCAUCGCUGGGUAGCUAUAUCUCUUUGUGAUAAGCACUGAAUGCAUCUCAAGUGCGAAGCACACCUCAAGAUGAGAAGUCUUUAAGCUUACCAGUAGAUCACUGGUUUAAUAGACUCUAGAUGUAAGUACCGUAAGGUAUUCAGUCGAGGAGUACUAAGUAGCGUUUCUUCCGUCUCU
Non-coding RNA from Candidatus Roizmanbacteria bacterium, 3827 nucleotides. The record is from Rfam. Lineage: Bacteria; Candidatus Roizmaniibacteriota.